UGGGGAAUCUUCCACAAUGGGCGAAAGCCUGAUGGAGCAACGCCGCGUGUGUGAUGAAGGCUUUCGGGUCGUAAAGCACUGUUGUAUGGGAAGAACAGCUAGAAUAGGAAAUGAUUUUAGUUUGACGGUACCAUACCAGAAAGGGACGGCUAAAUACGUGUCAG
This 164-nucleotide ribosomal RNA is filed under the name uncultured bacterium. RNAcentral describes it as "partial 16S rRNA". It matches the Rfam family "Bacterial small subunit ribosomal RNA", at positions 355 to 511 of the family's 1533-position model. The record is from RNAcentral.